This 480-nucleotide ribosomal RNA is filed under the name Triticum aestivum (bread wheat). RNAcentral describes it as "partial small subunit ribosomal RNA". The record is from RNAcentral. Lineage: Eukaryota; Viridiplantae; Streptophyta; Magnoliopsida; Poales; Poaceae.
AUGAACCCAACCUCCACGCCAGGCCCGGACGGCCUCCCGGUGAAGUUCUUCCAAGCCUUUUGGGAUGUAAUCAAACCCGAGGUGAUGGCCAUCUUCGAAGAAUUCUAUCGGGGCACUUGCGACCUUCGCCGCCUAAACUAUGGGGUCAUUACUCUCAUCCCCAAGGUUGCUGGCGCGACAGAGAUUCGCCUAUUCCGCCCGAUUACCGUGAUCAAUGUGAUCUUCCGCAUCUUGGCUAAGGGGUACGCCAAUAGGGUGACUCCUUUAGCCAACCGCAUCACCCACCCGGACCAGUCGGCCUUCAUUCAGGGUCGGUACAUCCUCGAUGGAGUCCUCGUCUUUCACGAGGUCCGCACCAAGCACCUAAAGGCCGUCUUCCUGAAGAUCGACUUCCAUAAAGCAUAUGACACCGUCAGUUGGCCUUUCCUUCGGGAAGUAUUGGUUAGGAAAGGCUUCGACGACCGCUGGGUCACGAGGGUC